GAUCUUGGCUCAGGACGAACGCUGGCGGCGCGCCUAACACAUGCAAGUCGAACGAGCGAGAGGGAGCUUGCUUUCUCGAGCGAGUGGCGAACGGGUGAGUAACGCGUGAGGAACCUGCCUCAAAGAGGGGGACAACAGUUGGAAACGACUGCUAAUACCGCAUAAGCCCACGGCUCGGCAUCGAGCAGAGGGAAAAGGAGCAAUCCGCUUUGAGAUGGCCUCGCGUCCGAUUAG
This 234-nucleotide ribosomal RNA is filed under the name uncultured bacterium. RNAcentral's name for it is "partial 16S ribosomal RNA". It matches the Rfam family "Bacterial small subunit ribosomal RNA", at positions 15 to 244 of the family's 1533-position model. The record is from RNAcentral.